Molecule: unclassified non-coding RNA, 449 nt
Filed under: Anisopappus grangeoides
Lineage: Eukaryota; Viridiplantae; Streptophyta; Magnoliopsida; Asterales; Asteraceae
Description: partial external transcribed spacer
Source: RNAcentral
UUGGUUUGUUACGGGUGGUUGGCUCUUUGCUUGUGCAACAACUAUCACCUGGCAAACCUCUUCAUUUAUGCGUCAGAGCUUGUNUCUCGGCGCAUUGUGGGUUUCUUGUGUUGGCUACCAAACUGACGGUAUUGUGAGGAUUGAACAUAGUCCCUUUCGUCUUUUGUAACACUUGUUAUACGAGAUGAUUCGUGUGAAGCAGUUUCUAUGAUCCACAUCAUUGAUGUACAUGUACAAUGUUGUGGCCCAUUUAACACUGCUUGGUCUUGAGAAUAUAGAAGCUAAUUUGAGCAUAGGUUCUUCAUCGGAGCCUUGUUUUACCCUUGUCUAGCGUUCACGCAUCUUUAAAAUGACUACCCGUCAUGUAGUGGCUCGUACCAGCAUGGUGGGUUUUGUCUAAGAGGAAUGCUACCUGGUUGAUCCUGCCAGUAGUCAUAUGCUUGUCUCAA